Molecule: long non-coding RNA, 1064 nt
Organism: Betta splendens (Siamese fighting fish)
Lineage: Eukaryota; Metazoa; Chordata; Actinopteri; Anabantiformes; Osphronemidae
Exons: 3
Source: RefSeq, a predicted model, not a curated record
CAAAGACUCUUACUGAAGUAGAAGUGGUGGUUGAGUUCAAUGACCAUGCUGCACCUGGAGAAACCCCACAGGCUAGUGAUGUGGCAAAAACAUUAGGAAAUGCUGUGUCCAAUCCCAACAACACCUUCAAUCUCACUGUUGAUUCCACUACCAUCCAAGCAGUUGUAUUGAAUGAAACAAAUCCAACAGCUGUGGUCCCCAACCUGACUACUACGGAAGCCACUCAACAAACACCCAUCAGUGCUACACCAGCUCCAACAACAGAGACUACAGCAGCUACUUCGACUGCUUCAGGAACCACAACAUUUGUUCUUGUCUCAGCUGUCUUGAAUACACCAUAUGAACCACAACUCAAUGACAGCAGCAGUGUUGAGUUCAAGACUCUUGAAACAGAAGUUGUACAAAUUGUGAGUACCAUGUCAAAAUGGUUACGUGGCUUCAUAAAUGCCCAAGUGGAUGAAUUCAACGUGACAAUCUUGAUUAUUGUAUUUAGAUAAUGAAACAUUUGUAAUAUGUUUGCACUUUUCUAUCUGCUUUCCUCCCUCAGUGGGACAUCGUCUACAGUGCCAGAUAUUAUUAUCUUUUUGUCCGUGCCUAUGUCGUAGAAUUCAGGUAAGGUUUUAACUUAUUUUUCGCUUUAUUGUAGGUGCUGUUCUCCAGUAUCAUGAGUGUUGUAUUCCAAAGAACCCCAUUUCAUGGAGCAAUUGCACACAUCAUUAAUGACUGUCAAUAUGAUGUCCUUGAAAUGUUCUGCUGUUUUUUGCAGACAAUAUGUCACAACAACAACAACAACAAAGACUCUUACUGAAGUAGAAGUGGUGGUUGAGUUCAAUGACCAUGCUGCACCUGGAGAAACCCCACAGGCUAGUGAUGUGGCAAAAACAUUAGGAAAUGCUGUGUCCAAUCCCAACAACACCUUCAAUCUCACUGUUGAUUCCACUACCAUCCAAGCAGUUGUAUUGAAUGAAACAAAUCCAACAGCUGUGGUCCCCAACCUGACUACUACGGAAGCCACUCAACAAACACCCAUCAGUGCUACACCAGCUCCAACAACAGAGACUGCA